Molecule: ribosomal RNA, 659 nt
Filed under: uncultured crenarchaeote
Lineage: Archaea; Thermoproteati; Thermoproteota
Description: bacterial SSU rRNA
Rfam family: Archaeal small subunit ribosomal RNA
Source: RNAcentral
UUGGACUGCGGGAGAUACUACCAAGCUAGGGGGCGGGAGAGGCCGGCGGUAGUCCCGGGGUAGGGGUGAAAUCCUAUAAUCCCGGGAGGACCACCAGUGGCGAAGGCGGCCGGCCAGAACGCGCCCGACGGUGAGGGACGAAAGCUGGGGGAGCGAACCGGAUUAGAUACCCGGGUAGUCCCAGCCGUAAACGAUGCGGGCUAAGUGUUGGAACGGCUACGUGCCGUCCCAGUGCCGCAGGGAAGCUAUUAAGCCCGCCGCCUGGGAAGUACGCCCGCAAGGCUGAAACUUAAAGGAAUUGGCGGGGGAGCACCACAAGGGGUGAAGCCUGCGGUUUAAUUGGAGUCAACGCCGGGAACCUCACCGGGGGCGACAGCAGGAUGAAGGCCAGAUUAACGGUCUUGCUGGACAAGCUGAGAGGAGGUGCAUGGCCGUCGCCAGUUCGUGCCGUGAGGUGUCCUGUCAAGUCAGGCAACGAACGAGACCCAUACCCAUAGUUGCCAGCGGAUCCCAUUGGGAUGCCGGGCAAGACUAGGGGGACUGCCGCCGAUAAGGCGGAGGAGGGAGGGGGCCACGGCAGGUCAGCAUGCCCCGAAUCUCCCGGGCCACACGCGGGCUGCAAUGCCAGGGACAGAGGGCUCCAACCCCGAAAGGGGAAG